Molecule: ribosomal RNA, 757 nt
Filed under: uncultured marine haptophyte
Lineage: Eukaryota; Haptophyta
Description: bacterial SSU rRNA
Rfam family: Bacterial small subunit ribosomal RNA
Source: RNAcentral
UCCGGAAUCAUUGGGCGUAAAGCGUCUGUAGGUUGUUUAAUAAGUCUGUUGUUAAAGACUAGGGCUUAACCCUAGAAAAGCAAUGGAAACUACUAGACUUGAGUAUGGCAGGGGUAGAGGGAAUUUCUAGUGUAGCGGUGAAAUGCGUAGAUAUUAGAAAGAACACCAGUGGCGAAAGCGCUCUACUGGACCAUUACUGACACUCAGAGACGAAAGCUAGGGUAGCAAAAGGGAUUAGAUACCCCUGUAGUCCUAGCCGUAAACGAUGGAUACUAGAUGUUGUGUUUAAUAUGCAGUAUCGUAGCUAACGCGUUAAGUAUCCCGCCUGGGGAGUACGCUCGCAAGGGUGAAACUCAAAGGAAUUGACGGGGGCCCGCACAAGCGGUGGAGCAUGUGAUUUAAUUCGAUGCAACGCGAAGAACCUUACCAGGACUUGACAUACUACAAAUUUCUUUGAAAAAAGGAAGUGCCUUCGGGAAUGUAGAUACAGGUGGUGCAUGGCUGUCGUCAGCUCGUGUCGUGAGAUGUUGGGUUAAGUCCCGCAACGAGCGCAACCCUUAUUUUUAGUUACUAAUUAAUUAGGUUUUCUAGAAAGACUGCCGGUGACAAACCGGAGGAAGGUGAGGAUGACGUCAAGUCAGCAUGCCCCUUAUGUCCUGGGCUACACACGUGCUACAAUGGUUAAAACAAAGGGUCGCGAGCUUGUGAGAGUCAGCCAAUCCCAUAAAUUUAGCCUAAGUUCAGAUUGUAGGCUGCA